RNAcentral lists this long non-coding RNA (216 nucleotides) under Elaeis guineensis (African oil palm). RNAcentral describes it as "long non-coding RNA (EGUI_LNC073762)". Lineage: Eukaryota; Viridiplantae; Streptophyta; Magnoliopsida; Arecales; Arecaceae. The record is from RNAcentral.
GUAGCUAAAGAUUAGAUGCCCGGACCACCAUCUCUCAAAGGUUGACAUACCAUGUCUCAUGGCAACAAAUGGACAUCACCCCCACCUCCCAAGCAAGACCCCCAUAAGAAACUCUGAAAGGGUGACUCCAACUUCGCCACCAGAGAUCUUAGGAGUAUUAUUUUGAUAGCAGGUAAGCAGGCACGGAACUGAGAACAAACCUCACCAGGGUGACCC